This is a long non-coding RNA of Cydia pomonella (codling moth), 1303 nucleotides long. RefSeq lists it as uncharacterized. The transcript has 2 exons. The record is from RefSeq and is a predicted model, not a curated record. NCBI's taxonomy places the organism in Eukaryota, Metazoa, Arthropoda, Insecta, Lepidoptera, Tortricidae.
AAAAUGCGCCAAUGUAAAUGCUGAAAAGUUUCCUAUCGUAUUGUCGAACAAAUUCAUAUCUACUUCUGAUCUACGCGACCUUAGAAGUUUGGAUUGUCCUACCUAAUCAUUUUACAUUUUAUUGUUUUCAGAACAAGAAUUAUUUUACUUCCCACUGUCUAUGUAAGGGGACUUAGAGCGGAUUCAUACUUUACUAUACGUGUCGUGUCGAAUGAUAGUCCCUAUGUCAGUUUCUCCAAUUCUAUUUUGCGUAGGAUAAGUUAAAAAAAUAAUUAAAAAUAUGUGUUACCGUAUUUUUAUUCGUGAAAUGUUACCUAUAUUUCUAAUUUAAUGAUUGUACUAUACUUCCAAAAAUAUGUCUGACAAACAUUUUAUAUGAAAACCAUUUUUCCAUGUAAAAAUGAACUGUUAUAGGGACCAUUUUUUGAAUUUAUGAUAAUUUAUUCAUAUUUUAAUGUACUCGGGUAGGUAAUAUUGCAGGCAUUAUAUCAGCACCAAAUAAAUGCUGUGAACCAGAUAUAUAUUAAGUGGCGAAUAACGUUUCCAAAUCGCAUUUUCUUUGACAUAUUUUUCUUUUUUUUUUGCUCUUUUUUUCACGACCGGUUUGGCCUAGUAAGUCGAUGAUCCUGGGUUUGAAUCCCGGUAAGGGCAUUUAUUUGUGUGAUGAGCACAGAUAUUUGUUCCUGAGUCAUGGAUGUUUUCUAUGUAUUUAAGUAUUUGUAUAUUAUAUAUUAUUAUGUCGUUGUAUGAGUACCCACAAAACAAGCCUUCUCGGCUUGCCGUGGGACUCAGUUAAUUUGUGUAAGAAUGUCCCUAUAAUAUUUAUUUAUUGUUAUUAUUAUUGUAUGUCCGGUAACAGAACUCCCCAGGAGCACUCGGGUGUGUAAGGUCGCUACUCCCCAACUUAUUAUAAUUGUUAUUACUUUCAGCAUUUUUAAGUUGUUCAUCGGACACUGAGGCCAUUGAAGUUUCAAGCUGGCGGCAUCAAAAUGGAGUACCUAGGUACUGUUUCAUUCAAAUAAAUGGGUGAAACCAUACGGAAAUAAUGAGGAUGCAUCGACAUAAGAAGAAUCGAACAUGGGCAAGAUAAAGUUCAAGAAAAAAGCAAAUAUAAUGUGUACUUGUGUGUAGUCAAAGAAAGUUGAAAAAUAAAGCAUAAUUAAUGGCCAUAGAAUACAGAACCGAUACACGAACAUUAAGACUAUUAAAAAUAGACAUAUAGGUUGAUCGUACUACUCGUACUAAUGUAUUUCUUUUGUUCAAUUAUAUUAUUGCAUUAAAGUUAGAUUCUCUAGAUAUAUAU